GAAUGCUGACAUAAGUAACGAUAAAGCGGGUGAAAAGCCCGCUCGCCGGAAGACCAAGGGUUCCUGUCCAACGUUAAUCGGGGCAGGGUGAGUCGACCCCUAAGGCGAGGCCGAAAGGCGUAGUCGAUGGGAAACGGGUUAAUAUUCCCGUACUUGGUGUUACUGCGAAGGGGGGACGGAGAAGGCUAUGUUGGCCGGGCGACGGUUGUCCCGGUUUAAGCGUGUAGGUGUGUGUUCCAGGUAAAUCCGGUUCACUUUAACACUGAGGCGUGAUGACGAGGCACUACGGUGCUGAAGCAACAAAUGCCCUGCUUCCAGGAAAAGCCUCUAAGCAUCAGGUAACAUCAAAUCGUACCCCAAACCGACACAGGUGGUCAGGUAGAGAAUACCAAGGCGCUUGAGAGAACUCGGGUGAAGGAACUAGGCAAAAUGGUGCCGUAACUUCGGGAGAAGGCACGCUGACA
Molecule: ribosomal RNA, 464 nt
Filed under: Salmonella enterica subsp. enterica serovar Infantis
Lineage: Bacteria; Pseudomonadati; Pseudomonadota; Gammaproteobacteria; Enterobacterales; Enterobacteriaceae
Also listed under: 4 other names
Description: partial 23S ribosomal RNA
Rfam family: Bacterial large subunit ribosomal RNA
Source: RNAcentral